Molecule: RNA transcript, 3539 nt
Organism: Papaver somniferum (opium poppy)
Lineage: Eukaryota; Viridiplantae; Streptophyta; Magnoliopsida; Ranunculales; Papaveraceae
Gene name: protein FAR1-RELATED SEQUENCE 5-like
Exons: 3
Source: RefSeq, a predicted model, not a curated record
CGGUGUUCAAGGCGUGAAUGGUUGAAUACCUAGACCGUAGAUGUGUUAUUGAUCGUCAAUUGUUGACUAUUCUCACCACUACACUCUCUCCCUCUGUCUUCGUUUAUUCUUCUCUUUUCUGGUUACGAGUCUCUCCUCAAUGCUAAUCCCUAAUUUUUGAUCAUAUAAUGAUGAAUUCACUAUAAGAGUUUGUGGGAACUCGUACUUAACAUCCAUCAACAUUACAGGGAAAUGACAGCAACUCUUAAAGCCGGGUCUGUUCCCUCACUGAAUAUGGAAUUUCAGUCUACCGAAGAGGCAGGAGGAUUCUACAGAGCAUAUGGUAGGAGUAGGGGUUUUUUAACAUGCAAGAGGUCAUCAUAUGCCACUAGACGAGGACCACAAAUAACUAGAGUGAUCUUUGUAUGUUGUUGUGAGGGAUUGCACAAGAAAUGUGUUGAUGCAAGUGAUGACGAUGGUGAGAACAAGAAAAACCGUACUUCAACUAUGAGAACUGGUUGUGAGGCUAUGAUUCGUAUAGCUUUGAAUACAAAAUGUAACACAUGGUAUGUUAAUGAAUUUAAGGAUCAUCACAACCAUGACAUAGUACCACCUAGAAAACAAGUUUCUAUAAAGUCGGACAAGGUGUUUCCUCCUGCGACUACAAAUUUGCCAGAAGCAUCUAGCAAGCAUACGCUCCAAGUUGGAAAUGUAGCAUCACUUUUUGGGGAUAACAGCGAAAUGACAGCAACUUCUGAAGUAGGAUCUGUUCAUAAUGAGAUGACAACAAAUUUUGAUGUCGAAUCUGUUCCCUCACUGGAUAUGGAAUUUAAUUCUAUCAAAGAGGCAGGGGCAUUCUACAAACAAUAUGGUAGGACUAGGGGUUUCUCAACACGCAAGAGGUCAUCAUAUGCCACUGUACGAGGACCACAAAUAACCAGAGUGAUUUUUGUAUGUCGUUGUGAGGGAAUUCACAAGAAACAAGUUGAUUCAAGUGAUGACGAUGGUAAGAAGAAGAGAAACACUACUUCAAUGAGGACUGGUUGUGAGGCUAUGGUUCGUAUAGCUUUGCAUACAAAACAUGGCAUGUGGUACGUUAAUGCGUUUAAGGAUGAUCACAACCAUGACAUGGUCCCACCUGAAGGAGGAGUUCUAAUGAAGUCGAACAAGGUUUUUCCUUCUGCACCUAGAAAUUUGGCACAAGCACCUAGCAAGCGCAGACUCCAAGUUAGAAAGGUAGCACCACUUUUUGGGGAUAAUGAGAAUAUUGAAUCCACUCCGAGGAAUGUUUAUAAUCAUCUCAGGAUAAUUAGAGGAUCUUUAAUAGAAGUAAGAGAUGCAGAAGCUGUGAUGAUUUAUUUUAGAAAAAGGACAGUAGAAAAUCCGGGUUUUUAUUAUGCGGUACAAGUAGAUGAAGAAGGGAGGGCAUCAAGUUUUUUUUUUUGGGUUGAUGCACGCUCCCGAAUAGCAUAUAGUCGUUUUGGAGAUGCAGUAACGUUCGAUAGCACAUUCAAAACUAACAAAUAUAGUAUGCCUUUUGCUUCAUUCACAGGUACAAACCAUCAUCAUCAGUCUGUUACAUUUGGAUUUGCGUUGUUGGGGGAUGAGACUGAAAAAACUUUUAAUUGGCUUUUUAAGACAUGGCUUGAAGCAAUGGGAGGAAAUCCUCCAAUUUCUAUACUUACUGAUCAGGAUCAAGCCAUGACGAGUGCGAUUGCUACAGUGUUCCCAAGCAGUCGUCAUGUUUUUGUUCAUGGCAUAUUAAGAAGAAGUUUGGAGAGAAGCUAAGUCAUGUAUUCAACAAGAAAUCCAAGUUCAAGAAAACUGUUAAAGCGGUCACUCGAUUUACCUAUACAACUCAGGAUUUUGAAAGUCAGUGGGAAGCCAUGUUGAAAGAAUUUGGUUUGAUGGAAAACGUAUGGCUUCAUGACUUGUUUGAAAUUCGUGAGAAGUGGACUCCAGCUUACAGUCGAGGUACUUUCUUUGCCGGCAUGAAUUCAACACAAAGAAGUGAUAGUAUUAUUUCUUUCUUUGAUCAUUCUGUGAACUCCAGAAUGUGUUUGCGAGAAUUUGUUGAAAGCUGUGAUCAAGCACUAGAAAGAAUUUAUAUUAGAGAACGGGAUGAAGAUUACGAGUCUAUCCAUGUGAAGCGUAUAUUUGCUUCCCAAGAUUUGUUAGUGAAGCAUGCAUCUAAAAAUCUAUACGAAGAAUAUGUUUAUUAAAGUGCAUGAACAGUUUAAUGCUUCUUCACGAUAUCGGUCGGAAGCAAUUGAGGCUGAUGGUGACGAAGAAACUUAUAGAGUGUACUCGUUAAAUGAUGAAGUACCGAUGGACCAAUUUCUGGUAAAGAUUAAUAAGGUAACGAAGAAAGGUGUGCGUGGUUGCCAAGAAUAUGAAUCCAUUGGCAUACCAUGCAGACAUUUGCAUCAUAUUUUAGUCUAUCGUUACUAUGUGGUGGAGAUUCCGUCUCGUUUUAUAAAGCAAAGGUGGACCAAGUAUGCAAAUAGAUCUUCGGUUUUGAGUAAUGAUGGUUUGGUAAUGAAAGAUCAUAAGCUUGGAACUGAAGCCACGAGGAUUAGUCGUUAUUGUCAGCGGUCAGCUGAAUUAGCUUAUAUAUUGGGUAAAUCUGAGAAAGCUUAUGAUGUAGCAAUGGGUUUCCUUGAUCAAGCAUUUGAGAAAGUGAAGGAGAUAGACAUUGAUGAGCUUAGAGCAGAAUAUGGCAAAAAUACCCAGUUGGAAAAAUAUGCUAAUGAUGAGCAAUUAGUGACAGAAAAUUCAUGUGAUGCAGCUGAGCUAACACACAGAUGAGUCAUGUGCUAGUGCUCCUAUUAAGACGUCUCUCAGCGACCCACGCAUCUCCCAAAAAAAAGGAAGAAAACCUGAUAAGAGAAAAACUGCAGAGUAUGCUCGUUAUGAAAGUGGUACAGAAACAACACAAAAUAACGUAAAAAGUAAAACUUGUGAAGGAGUAGGUCAUGGUUCUCGCAAUUGCGAACAAAUGAGGGAACAAUUGUUUGCUAUCACUACUAAUGGAGGUACAUGACAAGGCUUGUUAAUGGUUGUGUGGGAAGCUUUAGAAAUUAGCCAUAGAUCUGGAGCUGAUGCAGAUGUAAUGAACAAAAUUGUUAAAUGACAGAAGCAACACCUUUUGGAAGACUGCAUCUAUAUUUUAUAUACUUUUAAAUAGGGUUUGUGUUAUUAUAUAGUUAGAACUCGGAAAAUGUAUGCUGGCAACCUCCUAAAGCCUACUAGAAAUGUUUCAGAAUUGGGAGUUAAAAGCCUCCAUAUCUUAUGUUUUCAGGAGGUUAUCAUGUAAAGCUUUAUUGUUUCAUUUCAGAUCACUGUAUUGAGCCAGGACAACAUUGUAUGAUAGACCUCCAUGGAAGAGCUGGAAGCUAGAACUGGCCUUAGAGCUCUUAAAUUGUAGUUAUGGAUUUAAUCCAUUGUUUGCAAGUUUUGGCAUAUAACAGCUCAAGUUGAUGCAUAUAGCAAUGCUCUAUAACAGCUCAAGUUGGUUCAAGGAAUAUGACUUAUACAUAAAUGUGUUUCCACAACAAUGC